This 75-nucleotide transfer RNA is filed under the name Herpetosiphon geysericola. RNAcentral describes it as "tRNA-Lys". It matches the Rfam family "tRNA". Rfam says of the family: Transfer RNA (tRNA) molecules are approximately 80 nucleotides in length. The record is from RNAcentral. RNAcentral also lists the same sequence under 10 other names. Lineage: Bacteria; Bacillati; Chloroflexota; Chloroflexia; Herpetosiphonales; Herpetosiphonaceae.
GGGCCGGUAGCUCAGUGGUAGAGCAUCGGACUUUUAAUCCGCUGGUCGUGGGUUCGAUCCCCACCCGGCUCACCA